RNAcentral lists this non-coding RNA (23 nucleotides) under Arabidopsis thaliana (thale cress). The record is from RNAcentral. Lineage: Eukaryota; Viridiplantae; Streptophyta; Magnoliopsida; Brassicales; Brassicaceae.
UAACGUCUCCGAUUCCACCAUCU